ACAGUUUAUUAGGGCAAAUGGGGGUUAGGCCGUCAAACGAGAAAAGAGACAAAAACAGAAGCUCGCGGGACAAGGGUCUAAGGAAUCCUCCUAUGAAAUCAUCUUCAUUAUUCAUUAUCAUGAAUGUCAGAUAAGAAAGCUGUUCAAAAAGCAGAUAAGAAAGGGAAAAAAGAAAGAAAGAAAGGGCCCCUGAAAUAAAAGAAACCAAAACCCAAUAAAACUAAGAAGAAACCCCCAAAAAAAAAAAAAAACUGUUCUAUCCUCUUCUCUUGUAUGGGAAAGUCACUUCCUUCCACGGGCAAACUCCUGGAACUCUCCAAAAUCGUCUCUUCACACAAACCAAGACACAAAAGAUUCAUCGUACCUGGUGUUCCAUCGCGGCCGAGUGAGGUCCGGGUUGACUCGGAGCGAUUGAAGGUGAAAAAGAUGGAAGAAAGUUCUCUUAUUUUGGAUGGCCAAAAACGGGUGCCAUUAGGCCAGGUUGUCUCUGAUUGUGCUAAAAGAUGGUUUGAAGAUACACUAAAGGAAGCAAAGACUGGUGACAUUUCCAUGCAAGUUCUUGUGGGUCAGAUGUAUUUUAAUGGCUAUGGCGUCCCUAAAGAUGUUGAAAAGGGAAGUGCUUGGAUUAGUAGAGCUUCAAAACGUCGAGCUUCAGUAUGGAAAGUAAGCAAUAAACGUCCAGGUUAUAAUGGAAGUGACUCAGAUUCAGAGGAUGACAGGAAAUAAGAUCAAACUUUUUUAGUUCUGGCAAAAUCACAAUUGAGAACACCUGUGUCUUAUUCGGCUGCAUUGUCUCUUUGGAAGUCCAGAUGCUGAUGAAAUCUUUUGCGUCAUUUGAUUCAGUUUUUUGUUUUGUAUCACCCAACUCUAGUUUAGCAGGACGUGGAAAUGAAGAGGAUGCUCUAAAGGUCUCGCUUGGAAACAUCUUCGAUUAUGUAUUUAUUUGGAAAAAGUUUUGCACGUUUUGUUAACUUGUAAAUCCUUGUCGUUGGGUACAUGGUCCUUGGGGCGUGGACAAAGACAGGAAUAAUGCAUUUGUAAACUGUUCCUCUGAUAUUUUCUCUUACCCAUACGCAAUGAUUAUCAAACAUUCAUGGUUUUUGCA
Molecule: RNA transcript, 1105 nt
Organism: Populus nigra (black poplar)
Lineage: Eukaryota; Viridiplantae; Streptophyta; Magnoliopsida; Malpighiales; Salicaceae
Exons: 5
Source: RefSeq, a predicted model, not a curated record